RNAcentral lists this ribosomal RNA (2902 nucleotides) under Klebsiella pneumoniae. RNAcentral describes it as "23S ribosomal RNA". It matches the Rfam family "Bacterial large subunit ribosomal RNA". The record is from RNAcentral. Lineage: Bacteria; Pseudomonadati; Pseudomonadota; Gammaproteobacteria; Enterobacterales; Enterobacteriaceae.
GGUUAAGCGACUAAGCGUACACGGUGGAUGCCCUGGCAGUCAGAGGCGAUGAAGGACGUGCUAAUCUGCGAAAAGCGUCGGUAAGGUGAUAUGAACCGUUAUAACCGGCGAUGUCCGAAUGGGGAAACCCAGUGCAAUUCGUUGCACUAUCGUUAACUGAAUACAUAGGUUAACGAGGCGAACCGGGGGAACUGAAACAUCUAAGUACCCCGAGGAAAAGAAAUCAACCGAGAUUCCCCCAGUAGCGGCGAGCGAACGGGGAGCAGCCCAGAGUCUGAAUCAGCUUGUGUGUUAGUGGAACGGUCUGGAAAGUCCGACGGUACAGGGUGAUAGUCCCGUACACCAAAAUGCACAGGCUGUGAACUCGAAGAGUAGGGCGGGACACGUGGUAUCCUGUCUGAAUAUGGGGGGACCAUCCUCCAAGGCUAAAUACUCCUGACUGACCGAUAGUGAACCAGUACCGUGAGGGAAAGGCGAAAAGAACCCCGGCGAGGGGAGUGAAAAAGAACCUGAAACCGUGUACGUACAAGCAGUGGGAGCACCUUCGGGUGUGACUGCGUACCUUUUGUAUAAUGGGUCAGCGACUUAUAUUCUGUAGCAAGGUUAACCGUAUAGGGGAGCCGCAGGGAAACCGAGUCUUAACUGGGCGUUAAGUUGCAGGGUAUAGACCCGAAACCCGGUGAUCUAGCCAUGGGCAGGUUGAAGGUUGGGUAACACUAACUGGAGGACCGAACCGACUAAUGUUGAAAAAUUAGCGGAUGACUUGUGGCUGGGGGUGAAAGGCCAAUCAAACCGGGAGAUAGCUGGUUCUCCCCGAAAGCUAUUUAGGUAGCGCCUCGUGAACUCAUCUUCGGGGGUAGAGCACUGUUUCGGCUAGGGGGUCAUCCCGACUUACCAACCCGAUGCAAACUACGAAUACCGAAGAAUGUUAUCACGGGAGACACACGGCGGGUGCUAACGUCCGUCGUGAAGAGGGAAACAACCCAGACCGCCAGCUAAGGUCCCAAAGUCAUGGUUAAGUGGGAAACGAUGUGGGAAGGCACAGACAGCCAGGAUGUUGGCUUAGAAGCAGCCAUCAUUUAAAGAAAGCGUAAUAGCUCACUGGUCGAGUCGGCCUGCGCGGAAGAUGUAACGGGGCUAAACCAUGCACCGAAGCUGCGGCAGCGACACUAUGUGUUGUUGGGUAGGGGAGCGUUCUGUAAGCCUGCGAAGGUGUGCUGUGAGGCAUGCUGGAGGUAUCAGAAGUGCGAAUGCUGACAUAAGUAACGAUAAAGCGGGUGAAAAGCCCGCUCGCCGGAAGACCAAGGGUUCCUGUCCAACGUUAAUCGGGGCAGGGUGAGUCGACCCCUAAGGCGAGGCCGAAAGGCGUAGUCGAUGGGAAACAGGUUAAUAUUCCUGUACUUGGUGUUACUGCGAAGGGGGGACGGAGAAGGCUAUGUUAGCCGGGCGACGGUUGUCCCGGUUUAAGCAUGUAGGCUGGUUGUCCAGGCAAAUCCGGAUAAUCAAGGCUGAGGUGUGAUGACGAGGCACUACGGUGCUGAAGUAACAAAUGCCCUGCUUCCAGGAAAAGCCUCUAAGCAUCAGGUAACAUUAAAUCGUACCCCAAACCGACACAGGUGGUCAGGUAGAGAAUACCAAGGCGCUUGAGAGAACUCGGGUGAAGGAACUAGGCAAAAUGGUGCCGUAACUUCGGGAGAAGGCACGCUGGUGUGUAGGUGAAGUCCCUGCGGAUGGAGCUGAGACCAGUCGAAGAUACCAGCUGGCUGCAACUGUUUAUUAAAAACACAGCACUGUGCAAACACGAAAGUGGACGUAUACGGUGUGACGCCUGCCCGGUGCCGGAAGGUUAAUUGAUGGGGUUAUCCGUAAGGAGAAGCUCUUGAUCGAAGCCCCGGUAAACGGCGGCCGUAACUAUAACGGUCCUAAGGUAGCGAAAUUCCUUGUCGGGUAAGUUCCGACCUGCACGAAUGGCGUAAUGAUGGCCAGGCUGUCUCCACCCGAGACUCAGUGAAAUUGAACUCGCUGUGAAGAUGCAGUGUACCCGCGGCAAGACGGAAAGACCCCGUGAACCUUUACUAUAGCUUGACACUGAACAUUGAGCCUUGAUGUGUAGGAUAGGUGGGAGGCUUUGAAGCGUGGACGCCAGUCUGCGUGGAGCCAACCUUGAAAUACCACCCUUUAAUGUUUGAUGUUCUAACGUUGGCCCCUUAUCGGGGUUGCGGACAGUGUCUGGUGGGUAGUUUGACUGGGGCGGUCUCCUCCCAAAGCGUAACGGAGGAGCACGAAGGUUAGCUAAUCCUGGUCGGACAUCAGGAGGUUAGUGCAAUGGCAUAAGCUAGCUUGACUGCGAGCGUGACGGCGCGAGCAGGUGCGAAAGCAGGUCAUAGUGAUCCGGUGGUUCUGAAUGGAAGGGCCAUCGCUCAACGGAUAAAAGGUACUCCGGGGAUAACAGGCUGAUACCGCCCAAGAGUUCAUAUCGACGGCGGUGUUUGGCACCUCGAUGUCGGCUCAUCACAUCCUGGGGCUGAAGUAGGUCCCAAGGGUAUGGCUGUUCGCCAUUUAAAGUGGUACGCGAGCUGGGUUUAGAACGUCGUGAGACAGUUCGGUCCCUAUCUGCCGUGGGCGCUGGAGAAUUGAGGGGGGCUGCUCCUAGUACGAGAGGACCGGAGUGGACGCAUCACUGGUGUUCGGGUUGUCAUGCCAAUGGCACUGCCCGGUAGCUAAAUGCGGAAGAGAUAAGUGCUGAAAGCAUCUAAGCACGAAACUUGCCCCGAGAUGAGUUCUCCCUGAGACUUUAAGUCUCCUGAAGGAACGUUGAAGACGACGACGUUGAUAGGCCGGGUGUGUAAGCGCAGCGAUGCGUUGAGCUAACCGGUACUAAUGAACCGUGAGGCUUAACCUU